This is a non-coding RNA of Desmophyllum pertusum, 120 nucleotides long. The record is from the annotation of a GenBank genome assembly. NCBI's taxonomy places the organism in Eukaryota, Metazoa, Cnidaria, Anthozoa, Scleractinia, Caryophylliidae.
GUCAGGAUGGCCGAGCGGUCUAAGGCGCCAGACUCAAGGUUAAACACCUUCCCAGUGCACAUUGGGAGCGGGCGUUCUGGUCUCCGAAUGGAGGCGUGGGUUCGAAUCCCACUUCUGACA